UUUGAGACAGUUUGCAAGCGGUUGGACACUAAUCACUUCAUCGGUGACCGAUCAGACAGGUAUACAUGUCUGAAUAAUAAUUAUAACUUUAUGUCAAAUAGUAAUAUAAUUAAAACUAUGUAAUUGUAAUUGAAAGUUAAUACAUUACGUAUAAAAGCAUAAAACCGUAUAGUUUAGAUGUGUGUGUGUUGCAAAAAAAAAAACUGUUUAGAUGCGAACGAAAUACACAUUGUUAGUAACGACAAAAAGGUGCCUUAUCACUCUAUUAGGCCUGGACAGAUCGGAUAUCUGGGGUAUUUUAAAAUAUUCAGAUCCGCAUUCUUAUCCGACGGAUCCAUGAUUUUAUUAUCUUUAUCUGAAUUUGGGGUUCUCGGAUAUCCAGAUAUCAGAUAUCCUUCUAAACAUUGUAAUAUCCGGCGGAUAUCUGGAU
This 430-nucleotide long non-coding RNA is filed under the name Brassica napus (rape). Its description in RNAcentral is "long non-coding RNA (BNAP_LNC000591)". The record is from RNAcentral. Lineage: Eukaryota; Viridiplantae; Streptophyta; Magnoliopsida; Brassicales; Brassicaceae.